This 504-nucleotide ribosomal RNA is filed under the name uncultured bacterium. RNAcentral describes it as "partial 16S ribosomal RNA". It matches the Rfam family "Bacterial small subunit ribosomal RNA", at positions 30 to 523 of the family's 1533-position model. The record is from RNAcentral.
AUUGAACGCUGGCGGCAGGCCUAACACAUGCAAGUCGAACGGUAGCACAGAGAGCUUGCUCUCGGGUGACGAGUGGCGGACGGGUGAGUAAUGUCUGGGAAACUGCCCGAUGGAGGGGGAUAACUACUGGAAACGGUAGCUAAUACCGCAUAACGUCUACGGACCAAAGUGGGGGACCUUCGGGCCUCACACCAUCGGAUGUGCCCAGAUGGGAUUAGCUAGUAGGUGGGGGAAUGGCUCACCUAGGCGACGAUACCUAGCUGGUCUGAGAGGGUAACCAGCCACACUGGAACUGAGACACGGUCCAGACUCCUACGGGAGGCAGCAGUGGGGAAUAUUGCACAAUGGGCGCAAGCCUGAUGCAGCCAUGCCGCGUGUAUGAAGAAGGCCUUCGGGUUGUAAAGUACUUUCAGCGGGGAGGAAGGGUUGCUGGUUAAUAACCAGCGACAUUGACGUUACCCGCAGAAGAAGCACCGGCUAACUCCGUGCCAGCCGCCGCAGUAA